This 253-nucleotide ribosomal RNA is filed under the name uncultured bacterium. RNAcentral's name for it is "partial 16S ribosomal RNA". It matches the Rfam family "Bacterial small subunit ribosomal RNA", at positions 524 to 776 of the family's 1533-position model. The record is from RNAcentral.
UACGUAGGGGCCUAGCGUUGUCCGGAUUUAUUGGGCGUAAAGAGCUCGUAGGCGGUUCGGUAAGUCAGGUGUGAAAUCCUGGAGCUCAACUCCAGAACUGCCUUUGAUACUGAAGAUCUUGAGUUCGGGAGAGGUGAGUGGAACUGCGAGUGUAGAGGUGAAAUUCGUAGAUAUUCGCAAGAACACCAGUGGCGAAGGCGGCUCACUGGCCCGAUACUGACGCUGAGGUGCGAAAGCGUGGGGAGCAAACAGG